AAAUAACAUUUUAUAAAAUAAAUAUUUUAUGCUGCUAUAACAUUCCAAACCUCAAGCAAGGAAAUACAGUAGUAGUAGAACCUGAAGACAUACAGUACAGUGGAGUGGGUAUUUUGUGUUAUUGUGCCUUUGACUUUUUUAUACAAGAUGCAAAUAAUGUUAGCAAGACUUGUAGUUUAUCACCAACAACAGUCUUUCAAUCUUCAUACAUAACAGAAUUUAGUGAAAAUGUCUGAUGAACCCAAAACAAGAAAACAUCAUACAACGUGAACAUGCCAAAUGAGAUUGAAUUAUGUGGUUUAUUCAUGAUUCAUUAAUAGUGUGUGCCAUCAUUUAGGGCCGCAUCACACAUAACACCACGUUGGGCGAAAGACACAGAAACCGGAAGAAAAUCUGUGAACAAAAAAUAAAAUGGGGAACCUCGAAACCUUCCACCUGCUACCAUCAUAGCGGUCGUUAUAGCAGAAUUUCUGUCGUCGUGUCAAUGUGAGAUAUGGUCAUUUUUCAAUGCUAUCAACAUGGAAGAUAAUUUAAUUAAUUGAAAGAUACAACAGCAUUUUAGCAUUGUGCACAGUGUUAUAUUAAAACAGGAAGCCCAGGGUCUGAUGGCAGCUGAAAAAGUUAACUUUGUGAUGCUAUAGUUUAAUUCCCUUCUGUAAUAUCACACAAAUUACUCACAUUUAUCUGUUUAAAACCCGGUCACUCUCUGCACUUAAAUAAUCUCUUCCUGUCCAUUUUUCUUCUUCAUUAAAGAUGAAACAACAUCUGCUUUGUUCUUGUUGCUACGAUAAGCAGCAAAAGUUAAAAAUUUUUAACUUUUGAUGACAAGUACUGUUGGUGCACGUGGCUGCCACGGUCCCAGCCAGAGGUGGCGGAAUUGUUCUGUCAACCUCUCAUUGAAAACAAUGAAACAUCCAGUUUUCUAUCUACUGCUUACAGACGACAUGUAAAUGCAGCAGUA
Thalassophryne amazonica is the source of this 961-nucleotide long non-coding RNA. RefSeq lists it as uncharacterized. The transcript has 3 exons. The record is from RefSeq and is a predicted model, not a curated record. Lineage: Eukaryota; Metazoa; Chordata; Actinopteri; Batrachoidiformes; Batrachoididae.